This 421-nucleotide ribosomal RNA is filed under the name uncultured bacterium. RNAcentral describes it as "bacterial SSU rRNA". It matches the Rfam family "Bacterial small subunit ribosomal RNA", at positions 43 to 493 of the family's 1533-position model. The record is from RNAcentral.
CAGGCCUAACACAUGCAAGUCGAGCGGCAGCGCGAGUAGUUUACUACUUGGCGGCGAGCGGCGGACGGCUGAGUAACGCGUGGGAACGUGCCCCAAAGUGAGGGAUAAGCACCGGAAACGGUGUCUAAUACCGCAUAUGAUCUUCGGAUUAAAGCUUUAUGCGCUUUGGGAGCGGCCCGCGUCUGAUUAGAUUGUUGGUGAGGUAAUGGCUCACCAAGUCGACGAUCAGUAGCUGGUCUGAGAGGAUGAUCAGCCAGACUGGAACUGAGAUACGGUCCAGACUCCUACGGGAGGCAGCAGUAAGGAAUCUUCCACAAUGGGGGAAACCCUGAUGGAGCAACGCCGCGUGCAGGAUGAAGGCCUUCGGGUCGUAAACUGCUUCUAUAAGUGAAGAAUAUGACUGUAACUUAUGAAUAAGGAU